This 450-nucleotide ribosomal RNA is filed under the name uncultured bacterium. RNAcentral describes it as "partial 16S ribosomal RNA". It matches the Rfam family "Bacterial small subunit ribosomal RNA", at positions 354 to 796 of the family's 1533-position model. The record is from RNAcentral.
GUGGGGAAUCUUCCGCAAUGGACGAAAGUCUGACGGAGCAACGCCGCGUGAGUGAUGAAGGUUUUCGGACUGUAAAGCUCUGUUGUUUAGGACGAAAGUGCCUGUUGCGAACAGUUACAGGUAUUGACGGUACUAAACGAGGAAGCCACGGCUAACUACGUGCCAGCAGCCGCGGUAAUACGUAGGUGGCAAGCGUUGUCCGGAAUUAUUGGGCGUAAAGAGCAUGUAGGCGGAGAUUUAAGUCUGUUGUGAAAAUGCGGGGCUCAAACCCGUAUUGCGAUGGAAACUGAAUUUCUUGAGUGCAGGAGAGGAAAGGGGAAUUCCCAGUGUAGCGGUGAAAUGCGUAGAUAUUGGGAGGAACACCAGUGGCGAAGGCGCCUUUCUGGACUGUGUCUGACGCUGAGAUGCGAAAGCCAGGGUAGCGAACGGGAUUAGAAACCCCUGUAGUCC